This 1654-nucleotide ribosomal RNA is filed under the name human gut metagenome. RNAcentral describes it as "bacterial LSU rRNA". It matches the Rfam family "Bacterial large subunit ribosomal RNA", at positions 842 to 2482 of the family's 2925-position model. The record is from RNAcentral.
GAGAUAGCUGGUUCUCCCCGAAAUAGCUUUAGGGCUAGCCUCAGGGAAAAGAUUGCAGGCGGUAGAGCACUGAUCAGGAGAGGGACCUACCCGGUUACCAAACCCAGUCAAACUCCGAAUGGCUGCAAUCAUACCUGGGAGUCAGACUGCGACUAAUAAGGGCCGUAGUCAAAAGGGAAACAGCCCAGACCAUCAGCUAAGGUCCCCAAUGCCGUGCUAAGUGGCGAAGGAUGUGGCAUUUCAUAAACAACCAGGAUGUUGGCUCAGAAGCAGCCACCAUUUAAAGAGUGCGUAAUAGCUCACUGGUCGAGAGACGCUGCGCCGAAAAUGUCCGGGGCUCAAGCACGGAACCGAAGCUAUGGCAUGAUAGCAAUAUCAUGGGUAGGGGAGCGUUCUUAUAAGGAAGAAGCAUGACCGGAAGGACAUGUGGACGAAUAAGAAGUGAGAAUGCCGGUAUGAGUAUCGAAAAGAAAGGUGAGAAUCCUUUCCACCGAAAGCCCGAGGGUUCCUGAGCAACGAUCGUCGACUCAGGGUAAGUCGGGACCUAAGCCGAGGCGGAAAGCGUAGGCGAUGGACAACAGGUUGAAAUUCCUGUACCGGAUCAAGUCGAUUGAGCGAAGGAGCGACGCAGGAGGGCACAUGAUCGCGCGGCUGGAAGAGCGCGUCCAAGUGCGUAUGUUGCCGCAGAGGAAAACCCCUGCGGCUAAAAGCAGAGACAUGAUGGGGAGUUAAAGGAAACUUUGACGAACUCAUGAAUCCCACACUGCCAAGAAAAACUUCUAGCGAGACAAGAUCCGCCCGUACCGUAAACCGACACAGGUAGGCGGGGAGAGAAUCCUAAGGUGCGCGGGAAAACCCUCGUUAAGGAACUCGGCAAAUUGCAUCCGUAACCUAGGGAGAAGGAUGGCCCCCGGUCAGUGAAGAGCAGAAACGCUCAGAGCUAAAAGGGGCGGCAGAAAAGAGGCCCAAGCAACUGUUUACCAAAAACACAGGUGCCUGCGAAAGCGAAAGCUGAAGUAUAGGUGCUGACGCCUGCCCGGUGCCGGAAGGUUAAGGAGAGAAGUUAGCGAAAGCGAAGCAUCGAACUGAAGCCCCGGUGAACGGCGGCCGUAACUAUAACGGUCCUAAGGUAGCGAAAUUCCUUGUCGGGUAAGUUCCGACCCGCACGAAAGGCGUAAUGAUUUGGGCACUGUCUCAACGAGGGACCCGGUGAAAUUGAAAUACCUGUGAAGAUGCAGGUUACCCGCGACUGGACAGAAAGACCCCAUGGAGCUUCACUGCAGCUUGAGAUUGAAUCCCGGUGACAGAUGCACAGGAUAGGUGGGAGGCGCCGAAGCAUUGCCUUAGGGCGGUGCGGAGCCGAUGUUGGGAUACCACCCUUCUGUUGCUGAGAUUCUAACGCGAGGAGUAACGACCCUGCGGACCCUCUCAGGCAGGCGGUUUGACUGGGGCGGUCGCCUCCGAAAGAGUAACGGAGGCGCCCAAAGGUUCCCUCAGGCCGGACAGAAACCGGCCGAAGAGUGCAAAGGCAGAAGGGAGCUUGACUGCGAGACCAACAAGUCGAGCAGGGACGAAAGUCGGGCUUAGUGAUCCGGUGGUACUGGGUGGAAAGGCCAUCGCUCAACGGAUAAAAGCUACCCUGGGGAUAACAGGC